RNAcentral lists this ribosomal RNA (269 nucleotides) under uncultured prokaryote. Its description in RNAcentral is "partial 16S ribosomal RNA". It matches the Rfam family "Bacterial small subunit ribosomal RNA", at positions 524 to 792 of the family's 1533-position model. The record is from RNAcentral.
UACGAAGGGAGCAAGCGUUAUUCGGAAUUACUGGGCGUAAAGGGCGUGUAGGCGGUUUGUUAAGUCAGUUGUCAAAUCCCAUGGCUUACCCAUGGGCCGGCAAUUGAUACUGGCAGACUAGAGGGCAAGAGAGAGGAGUGGAAUUCUCGGAGUAGCGGUAAAAUGCGUAGAUCUCGAGAGGAACACCGAUGGCGAAGGCAGCUCUUUGGCUUGUCCCUGACGCUGAGGCGCGAAAGCGUGGGGAGCAAACAGGAUUAGAUACCCCCGUA